Physeter macrocephalus (sperm whale) is the source of this 31998-nucleotide long non-coding RNA. RefSeq lists it as uncharacterized. The transcript has 14 exons. The record is from RefSeq and is a predicted model, not a curated record. NCBI's taxonomy places the organism in Eukaryota, Metazoa, Chordata, Mammalia, Artiodactyla, Physeteridae.
GAGUCAGGAAAAUGAGGGAACCUGCGUUUAUUCUUUUAGUUUACUAAAUUGAAAGCAAUUUAGCUAAUUUCUGUAUGUCACCAUCUGGACACAGAACUGUGAGGAGAACACUAAGGAAGCACCAAAGGCCAAGUGUUGUCAUGGUGGUGGAUGACUCAAGGCACCUCAUCUAUCUGCUUACUCCACAUUUCUUUCUGAAAAUCCUCCACGGAAACAAGGCCCUGGAAGUUCUAGCCAUCAGUCCAUAUGGGACAUAUAAUACUUAGGGAUUCAUCACUGAGAUUGGGGGAGCCCCAAGACCUUCCUAGAAUGUCUGGUAUCUCAUUGUACAACUUCAAAAGAACUGUGGAUCUCAUCAGAGUUGAGAGAAGGAUGCUAACUGGACCCUAUAACUCUAUGAGUUUGUCUUCAUUAUCUGAAUAUGAUCCCAUUACCUAAACUAGAAAAAUCCAGAGAGGGAAAUGGUUUGCCAAGACCAUCCCACAAAUCAGUGGUAGAGUUGCUUCCCAUCAACCAGUCCACCCUGAAUCAUUUAUUUUGCUAUAGUAUUCCCUUUAGUAAACUAAGGACUGCUAUUGCAUUGAUAUACAUUAUUUCAGAAAUGCCUCAUUCAUUUCUAACCACCUGUCAGUUACCAGUGGUGUCCAGUUCCAAUGUGAGCUUAAGUGUCUCUUCCUUCUUUCCCUUCACCUUUUCCCACUUGCAUCAGACUCUCUGCCAAGUGGUUAUAGAUCUUUGAACCAACACUGAUAUUGACUGCGGAGGCUGACAUUUAAAUUUUUCUUGGUGAAAUGAGCAUUUGAAAAUGUCAGAGGGUUUCCUGGGGCUUCCCUGGUGGCACAAUGGUUAAGAAUCCUCCUGCCAAUGCAGGAGACACCGAUUCGAGUCCUGGUCCCGGAAAAUCCCACAUGCCAUGGAGCAACUAGGUCCGUGUGCCACAACUACUGAAGCCCGUGCGCCUAGAGCCCACGCUCCACGGCAAGAGAAGCCACCGCAAUGAGAAGCCCGCGCACCACAAUGAAGAGUAGCCCCCACUCGCCGCAACUAGAGAAAGCCCGCGCGCAGCAACAAAGACCCAACACAGCCAAAAAUUUUUAAAAUUAAUUAAAAAAAAAAAGGGUUUCCUGGUUACUUUACUGUCUCCAUGAGGCCACCCAGGAGAUCUCCUGGUAAAAAGACAUUCUUUGAGAUGCUUCUGGGGCUACAGGAGAUUUGGUUUUCAUUCUUAUAACAUGUUUGACUACUGAAUUCUAAGGAAAACAAUUUAAAAAUAAGCCCUAUCAAUGUUGUUUCCUUUAAAGAAUCACAAGCUUGUUAGGAACUGGGGGUAGGUGGUUACCAUUGUUUGAAUCGCUGGUUCUUAGAAAAGGGCAUGGGGGUAGACAUCAGGAUCUAGGAGGUGAGGUAAGGACCAUGGUUCCGUUAAGCCCUCUUCCCUUAAACCACUGAUCUAAUUCCUCAUACUCAGCUCUCAUUCAUUCACUCAUUCUCACAACACACAGUUCAUUGGCAGUCUUUUGUGGGUUAGACACUAUUUUCUCUGGAUACUGGGGAAAUGAAUAUAAAUACAACAGGGGAUUCUGACCCCAGGGGACGCACAAUCUACUGAGAAAAAAAAGGCCAAGAAUGGUGCAAAAGCUUGCUUUAAGUCAUGCAAAUGAUAGCCCCCUUGCCAGGCCAAACAUCCUGAUUCUGAGCCAAAUAAAACUCUCUGGCCUCCUUCCAGAUGCUGUGUCCUACCUCCUGCUCCAGCACCAGUGUGAGGCACCGACCCCCUCCUUGGGCAGGUUCAGCCUCUGGGUUUUUCAUCCAGUGUUGAUUAGAACAGGAUAUAACCCAGCUGCCUCAAUGCACCAUCCAGUAAUACCCAAUACCCAAUGCAAAGAAAAUCCACAAGAGCCUGGAGCACACACAGCCUCACCACCACCAUCACCAGGUUGGCUCAGCCUGCAGGCCAGAGCUUUGCCUGGUCUGUGAUUUUUAUAACUUCGAGAGCCUGACAGGUUCUACCAUGAACAGAGAGAUCACCCAACAUCAUGCUAUUCCAAAGCACACAGCCUCAAGUAGCAUCCACAGCCUGGACACUAGCUCCCAACACCACCUCUAACAGAAUCUAGACACCUAAUAGAUCCUGAAGCUUACUCAACUAAACCCAAGUUUACCCCAACGCUCUGGGCAUCCCAGACCUUUGGAUAAUAAACUAACAGGUGAUAUAAACAGGUGCCAGCCCUGCACCCAGACCACUUUUCACAGCACCCUAUUGCCAAGGCCCAGACUGCCUGAGGGUUGGGCCCAUGUGCCAGGAGUUGUAACCAUCUCCUUCCUAUGACACAUGCAUAAAACCACCAGAUACAAUUUCAGCAAUCUUACAAUUAGUUGGAAGUCUAGCAGCUUUCAAUAUCUCAACAUCAAGGUUGCUAAGAAACACCCACCCUUUGGAGGGUGAAAUGUCAGCGGAAUGCUCAAAAGAAAAUGGGACAGAAAAAGAUUAAUAAUAUCAUUAAUAAAGUCCAUAAUUUGGGAAGGUAUAUUGAAAAAACUUGACGAUGGUGAUGGUGAAUCAAUAAAUCAAGCACCUUAGGCCCUCAAACUUCUUUCCAGUCCCGUCUCCUGUAAGUUUUCUACCCCAGACUCUUAGCAUUCUCCAAGAACCCAGGCACUUACCUCCACUCCACACUUAGGCGUUGGUCGCUGCCUUUGGUAGGCUAGAAGCUCCUCAAAGACAAGAGAACUUCAUUUUUGUUGUAUUGGACUUGCAUCCAAAACAUGGUGCUCACUUAGGAAAUGUAGACUGAAUUCAAGUAGGUAGAAGUGAAAGAGAAUUCAGGGUGAAAUCUGAUGAUCUGGGUUCCAGUUAAAGCUCCACAACUGACUAACUUCUUGUCUUGUCAACAUUUGACAUCAAAAUGGGGGAGACUGAGAAAUCGCCUAUGUGAGACAUAAUUAUACAGAAACUUGGAACCUUUUCUGCUGGUUCCCUACUUAUUGAAAAGAUGAUGCAAUCAUCCCAAAUGAACAUACCUGGGCAAUUUGCUAUCGAGGGGGUCCAUGCCUUACAGUGGGGACUGAGCUGCUGAAGGCACUUUCCUGUGCAGCUCCAUCCUACUCAGUUUAGCACCUGUGACCCCUGCAAUUAUUUAGUAACCGGACCAUCUCUCCUCCCGAAUUUGAGAGCAAUUAUGCUCAGACAGGAAAGUGACAUGUCCAGAGUCACAUGGCUGGCAUGUUGGAAGAGUAGGAUUGGAGGCCAUGCCUGUUUGUCUCGGAGUCCAGUACUCACCCCAGCACACCCGCUGCCUUCCUCAGCAGAUUCAAAACCCUUAUGUUUGGGCUUCUCUGGUGACCACAUUAAACGUUUAAAUCCCCUGCGAACAUGUAUUAUAACCUAAACAACCAAAAGGAAGACAGAGAAGGAAGAGGAGAGAGAAGAAAGAAAGAGACCAAGCUGCCAUGCCUGCCAGCGUCGGACUGCACUCCUUCAUCCAGCCAGCAAAUCAACGCACCCAAGGCAUCUUAUAGAAAACAGGACAAAGUAAGACCCUAGCAUCUGGUGAAUUAUUCUAUGCUCCUCUUAAAGUCUUGGGUUAAAGUCCACAAACAUGGAACAUCACAGUCCUCUUGGAGUUCUGCUGCAGAGGACAACUGUAUGGCAGUUUAAAGAAGCCAGCCCUGGGCCAACAAGAGUACUGUCUUCUUAGGAAUGAAGUAGUUAUAAGGUGCAAGAUGUAUGAUUUAUACUCCUAUUUCAUACCCAUGUGAAAGGUGUUAGCUUUUUGGUCUUCACAACAGCUCAGUGAAAAAGGAGUUGUGAUUAUCUACUUUCCUAAAUGCCCUAAUUUGCAGAGCUGCUACAUGAGGGAGUCAUUGUUCGGAGUGAGGCAGUGACUGCAAGAGCCUGGGAUCUCCCACCACAGCGCUGCCAUGCCUCCAGCCCUGGCCGGUGAAUGGGUCCUCCACUCCUUAGCCACCAGCCCAAGCAGCAAGGGUGAAGUCGACUGUGGUUAAGUAUUUGUUCAGUAUCUUCGUGGUUUCAGCCGCCUGGAUGCCACCAUCUUCCUUACGAGACAGAGCUUCCCUAUUUUGAUGGGCGAGUCAUCAGUCACUCUUCAUGAUCUUCAGCUGUAUUUCCUCUUUUUUUUUUUUUUUUUUUUUUUUUUUUUGCACGCGGGCCUCUCACUGUUGUGGCCUCUCCCGUUGCGGAGCACAGGCUCCGGACGCGCAGCCUCAGCGGCCAUGGCCCACGGGCCCAGCCGCUCCGCGGCAUGUGGGAUCUUCCCGGACCGGGGCACGAACCCCCGUGUCCCCUGCAUCGGCAGGCGGACUCUCAACCACUGCGCCACCAGGGAAGCCCUGUAUUUCUUCUUUAAGGGUAGGCUCUUGCUCCUUCAGCACUAGGCUUACCUCACUUUUCAUCUCUGAAUGUUUUGUUGGUCAUUCCCUGAGCUUGAGUUAUCUUUACUCUGCCAAUGUCUGCUCUUAUUCAGACUUGAAAAACUCCAGUCAAUUUUCAUCUUACCAAAACGUUAGCACCCACAGACCAGGACUCAUGUCUGAUUUAUUCUUUAUUCCAUAUCAUCUUCGCAGUAUAUAGCAGCCUAAAUGCUGAAAGAAUAAAUAGUGGUCAGUAAAUGUCGAAAGAAUGUGCGAAUGACUCCCCUUUGAGAACUUUCUAGACUCAGCAGUUCCCUGACAUCUGCUCUAGUACUGAUUCUUUCAUUCAUUAACUCUGCAAAUAUUCCUGGAGUGACCACUACUUGAAGAGAACUUGAAGUCCUGUACAUAGAAUGGGAGUAUUCAUGCUUGAAGACUCACACUUUCUUCAUUCAUCCGUUUGUUCAUUCACUCAGUUAAUAAGCAUUUACUGAGUACUUCCUAUGCUAAGAACAUGCACUGAGUGGAGGCAUGGGUGUUAAGAACCAUGGAUUUAUACUGGAAAUUCCUGGUUUCCAACUUGACUUCAUCACUUAGUAGCUGUGUACUUGGGCAACUUUCUUAACCAUUCUGGGCCCCUGUUUCCUUAUUUGCAAAAUGAGGAAAAUACCAGUAUCAACAUCCUCAGUUAGCUGUGAGGAUUAAAAGAGAUCACACACAUUAAGUGCUCAGUAAAUCUUAGCCAUUAGCUAUUAUCAUUUCCCUGGUAAGUGAAACGAAGAGGAAUUAGACAUAAUCCUUCUCAAGGAACUGACAAAUUCAUGGGAAUAUAAAUUUUUAGAAUAUGAGGUACAAAUAAAAAUGCUAGGGAUGCUCAGAUUAAGUAGAGAUGAUUUACAAACAGGGAAAAUCAGAGACAGCGUCAUUCCUGGAGAAGGCUGCAUUUGGACAGGUUUGGAUAUGCAGACGUAUAGGGGGAAGGGCGUUCCAGGAGGUGGAAAUAGCCCAACAAGUAAAUGGAGGUAUUAAAGAACAAGCCCAUAUUCUGGGCUCCUGAGUCACUGGGCAAUAAAUUUGAUCAAUUACAAGAGACAUAAGGGGGAUAGAGAAAGACACAAUGGUAGUAAAAAGGAUCUUGAGAACCAGUGAGUGAGUUUGGGUUCCAUUCUAUGUCAACUGGGUGUGUAUCCAUGGUUUUAUGUGCACCAUUCACUAGUUUCAUUUUUGUUUUCGACUGUGGAUGGGUACAGUCAUCUGUAUUCAAAACUUUUUAGAUUUUAAGUUAUUUACACCUUCCUGUUUGGGAAAUUUGAUCACCUCCCAAUAUGCCUUAAGGUCCUUCAUGUCACCUGAGUGACUCAGUAGUGCUAUGAAGUCAACCACAUGGGGAGAUGAGGAAACUCACAUGGACAGGUAAGAUAACCUGUCUGUGGCUAGUACUUGGAUGGACUGGGAUAUGAAUGUCAUGGCUGCUAACUCCAAGACUUUCUGUUUUCUGAGGUGGGGAAGUGCAAAUAUACCGCAAGAUGGAAGCCAAGGCCAUGUUGCUGAGUGGCAGAGAAGAGACAUUUUGGUGACAGGGACCUCCAGCUGGGGAUUGUCUCUGCUGCCACUGGCUGCUUUUUUAGCUGUGAUUUGCAGCAGUAAAUGCUACGCAGAAUGAAAUCAGCUAUAGAUAUUUCCCUUCUCUCCUGGCUUGGCCUGGUGGGUAUGUCCCCUCCGGCCUCAUCCCAAGUUUCUUAAAGGGCUUCAAAAGAAAUAGAUAUUGACUGAACUCUGGGGUUAUUUAUAAUGGAAAUCCAGUCCCUCAUUCCUCCUGUCCUCCACAGAAGAGUUGGGCUGUUAAUCUGAACCUUGGGGAAUCAGAGGCCCAGUUUGCUUUAUUUAGCUUUCAGGACAUUGGAUUUUUUUUUUUUUCUUUUGCAAAGACCUCAAAGUUCCACUGAAGUUAAAAGUAUCCUAUGUCCCAAUGUCUUGACCAAUUUAAAUAACUCACCCUCUUCUCCAAAUCCUAUCCUCAUGUUUCACAAAGUUGGACAUUCUCCCUUAUGUCUUUUCUUAAGCAGUUGCAUAAAAGGGCAGUUUGGGUAAGAACCAACUUAUGAGCCUACUCCAGAGGCAAUUUACUUAAGUAGUACAUAUACACACACAAAAUAAUUUCAGUGCAUUUAUCUAACAAUUUAUCCAGGAGUUUGUGAGGUCCAAGGAGGAGUCUCUGUGACUAAGUGUUCUGUGUUCCCUAGACUUGAGCACUUGUCCUUGCACAUAAUAAGUGCUCAGUCAUUUGUUGGUUAGUGAAUCAGUUAGUAAGCAUGCAAGUGUCUCCCCACAUGAAGAAGUGCGGAGGGACAACUUGUGGUCAAUCAGUGAUUUUCUUUAGCUAGAAUUUUCUUAUGCUUUUUUGCCUGUUUCCCAUCCCUUCUGACACACGCACACACACACACGCACGCACAGGUUCACUAGUUAUGUUUUAACAUUUUGCCUGUGUUCUAUUGUGCCAGAGACCUUGAUUGCGAUUCACUCAAGACAUUUGAAAAGUUUUAUUUUGACAGAUGUAGUAUAAAGUAAUAUCAAGUACACUGUGUAUAUGUUUAAAAAGUUGUCUUUUUUACUUAAGAGUUGUGUGACCUUAGUCAAGUUACUUAGACGCUAUGGGCUUCAGUUUCCUCAUCUAUAAGAUGGAGAUAAUAAUGGUACCUACCUUUUGAUAAUUAAAUGAGGUGAUAGAGAAUAGAGUAUUUAGCCCAGUCUUUGGCACCUAGCAUGUGCUCAAUAAAUGUCUGUUAGGAUGACAACAGUGAUUUUUUGUGUAGAUAAACGUCUUGGCACAGUGAUAUAUAUGCAUUUAUAAGCAAUAAGCCAACUUCUUCUUUUUUGGUAAGAUGUCAGAUAAAAAUCCAAUAAAAGAUUUUAAUUAUUCAUGCACUUAUUAGCUAAAGACUACCCAUUUAAUCAACAUAUUUGAGAAGACUUACAGUAAAAUAGUGUAAACAAUAUCAUCAUUAACAUUUGGAUUAGGAAAAGCAUGAAUCAUUUAUUGAAACCAAAUAGUUAUAUAGUCCUUUAUUGACUUCCUAAUGCUUUUUCAAACAUUAUCUGUUCUAAUCUUUAAUUUUCACAACUCUUAUUAGGGAGGCAUUAUUACUUAACCUACCUGAUGGAGAGUAAUGUGACUUGCUCUAGUCCUCACUGUUUAGUAUUUGGUUUGGGGAUUCAGAAAUGUCCAAGAGUCCAAGAUCACAGAACCACCCUCCCCAGUAGAAGAGCUAGGAGGCCUUAGUUUGAACUUAAAUCCCUGAACAGGGCUGUGCUCAGAAGAUGUGUUGUUGGAUGAAUGAACAGAUCCCCAAGUAUAACUCCUAAAGUCAAAUGCCAUAAAACUGGCAUAAAACCCUACCCUGAUUUCACUCUCUUGGUGAAAGAUUGGACUCAGGUGAAACUGUCUACUUAGACAUGCCCACUCAUCUUUUCAGGAAUCAGCCUAAGGAACACAGGUAGUGGCAUUUAGUCAUUUAUUGAGUGGUUUGCAUGGAGUCCUAUUUACUUUGAGGAAUUCUCACACUCUUUAUUUCAUGCCAUGAGGUGGUAAAGCAGGAAUUGUUUGUGACUCAUAUUUUGCAGAAGAGAAGACUAUGGUCUGGGGAAGUUGAGCAGCUUGCUUGAGCUCACCCAGGGUGGAGUGGCUGAGCCCAGAUUUGAAAUCACCCACUGAGGCUCUGGGCCCUUUUCCCAGUGCUCUUUCCCUGUGUGUAUCUCUUCCACCUCCCCCAGUCUCAGCCACACAGGAAUACUGCCUGCCUGAGCCCCAGCCAUCGAUAAUGUUAACACUGGUAGAAUCAAGAUAAUAUGACGGUCUUACAAUCUACAAGGCAGAUCUCCACAUCAGUACAGCUACUGUCAGGUGACAUAGCAACAUAGCACCUCUGUCCGUAAAAUUAAGUUCCCCAGGAGGGAAGGGAAACACUGGUCACUUGUAUAUACUCUACAACUUGGUAGAAUUGGCCUCAUGAUGGGUGAUACAGUCAAACUUCUGCAUUUUCAAGUGUCCUGAACUUUAUCUAGUUGACCACUAGCUCAGCCCUUUUACAGUGCCCUGAAAUUUGCCCUGCUUGGCAAUGAUCUCAGAGGGACUUUUGACGUUUUUUGUGGUCAUUGUUUUUAUAUCUGAGAAAAAAUAAAAGUUGCCUAAUUUGAAUUAUUCUGUACACAUUGCCCAAAAAAAUAAAGUCAAUAUACAAAAUACAUACAAAAUAUGUAAAAAACUACUCACUCUGAAUAUUCAUUUAAUAAAUAUUUAUUGAAUGCUGACUAUAUGCCACACUCACUUCUAAGCCCUAAAGAUACAAGAGUCAAUGAACAUAACAGACAUAUUAUGAACAUAACAGACAAUUCUUCUAGUGGGAAGAAACAGGCAAGAAAAGCACGGAAAGGAAAUAUAACAGGGAUGCUAUAUGCUAUGCAGAACACAUUAGGGGAUGGGAGAUACAGGGCAUGGAUGUACUAUUUAGUGGAGGUGAGAUUUGAGCCAAGGCCUGAAGGAAGGAGUGCACCCUGUUGCCAUCUAGGGGAAGAAUGUUCCCGAAAAAGGAAACAUCAUCUGAACGGUCUUACGGCGGGAGGCUGCUUGGGUGUCCUGGGAACAGCAAGGACGCCAGGGUAGCUGGAAUAAAGUCCCUAAGGGGAAAGGGGUAGGAAUCGAGGUCUGACAGGCAGCAGGCGAGGCUGUUGGGUCUGGCAGGCCCUGAAGGGGACCAUGGCUCUGACUCUGAGUGAGACAGGAAGUCACUGGAGCAUUCUGAGCAGAGAUGUCACACGAUCUGGCUUGGGUUUCAAAUGGAUGACCCUGGAUGCUACGUGGAAAGUAGACUUGGGAGGUGGGUACGGUGAGGAGAAGAGAGGUGGAUGGAUAGCCUACUCCAAGAGUUUAAGCCUAACAUGAUUGUGGCUUGGACCACAACAGUCCAUACUGUUGGCCCCAAAUAAAGGAAAUCUCUGGGCCAAACUUAAGGAUAAUUUAUCUUUAAAGGCUUGAACUAUGGGAGAGAGUUCAGGAAAAUUUAAACAGAAUUUAAAGUUAUAUGACUGUUUCUACCCCUCUAGGGUAAUACAAAUAAGUAUUAUCUUUGGUUAGUAAAUAUAUAGGCAACUUCCCCUUCCAACUUUGGAAAAUAAAGUAACAUUCCAUAUUACUUCUCUUGGUUCUUCUAUGACUUGAAUCAUGAAAUGGGUUGUGAGCUGAAUAAUUUAGCCAGUUGUUAAGUGAUAAAAAAAAGCAAAAGAAAAUAAUUGUCAGGGCUCUACAGAAGUUAAUGGUAGAGUAUGUUGCAAUCAGAAAAGUUGAAGUUCUCUCAGAAACGUCAAUAUUGUUAUCUGAACAUGUGAUAGAGGCACAGGUCACCAGAUGUGGAGGAGAUCCCACUUUGUCCAUGAAGAAACUGAGACUCAGGAGGGAGAUAAACUGUCCAAGUUACACAAAAGUUAGUAAGUUUGGACCAGAACUUGAUUCUCACUCCAGCAUGAUGCCUAAUCCAUAAAAAGUUUUCCUUAUAAAUAUACUUUGUUACUAAUGCGUUAGAGGGGUUGAAGUAUCAUUCACAUCUCCUCCUAUUAAGAACCCCAGUCUUCUCCGUUUCUUGCACACCUGACAAGAACCGGCUCCAUCCUCGUCAUCCUAGCCGUACCAUCUUGGUUCCUUCAUCUCCUCUCUCCCUGUCUCACACUCCAUCUUCACAUAACCCCAUGGGGAUUAGCUGUCUUCUGCUCUGUUUUACUUGGGGAAUCUGCCUGCCUGGAUUGUACACUCUCACUCCACAGAGAGGGAGAAGCUAAGCAGAUAAUACCUGGAUGUCCUGAUGGGUCGGGAAAACUCCCCAAUUUUAAUGUUUUUGCUCCUUCACAAAAAGGAGUCACAUUUUCAAGCCUUGGAAUUUCAAUAUGUGGCUUUGUUCCCACUACUUUAUAUGUACUCAUGCAUUAAUUUUCUCAGGAAGGAACACAGUGUGAAUUUGAAUGUCAAAAAAUGCAUAGGAUUCUUUUUAUUAUGUCUAUGGUAACAGAAAUUUGGAAAAAAAAAACAACUUGAAAACAAGGAUCAGUCAGCUCAGAAAAGCACUAGAAAGCUAGACCCAGCUCUAGGACUCAGUGGCUUUGUCACCUUCAUUGAGGCCAUUUUCCUUCAGGAACUCUACCAUCUGACCUAUGAAAUGAAGGGAAGAGGAGAUUGGAGUUUGCCGCCAGCAUCUGCGGGCAUCUCAAAGCCUCGUUCCUAAGACUUUUCCAUGUACAUGCCAGACUUUUCUUUACAUCCCCAGGCCGUUUAUGCAGUCCCUUCCUCACCCUACAAUCUCAACAUCCUCCUUCAUAAUCUCAAAUUCUGUGACUCACACUCAGAUGAAUACAUAUUUACUGAGAGAUUCUCUUGUGCUCACCACUGUACUGGGCACUGCAAAGUAAUGAAAAAGGAACAUAAGGCAUCAUUUCUUCCCUUAAGGAAAAUUAAUUGAAAGAGAGGCCUUUUGGCAUUAGAAAAUUUUGCAUUAUAGAUUUUUUUAAGGGAUAAAAUUUUAGUGUCUCUAUGCACCUUUCAUAGUUCAAAAUAAGCCCAGAAAGAUCUGCUUAGGAAAGCACUUAGAGGAAUGCUUUAAUUAAUCCACCAAAAUGCUUCAAAAUGAACAAAUCAAGGGCUUUUUGUAAAUGGGGGGAUCAGAGAGUCAGAAAACAAUUGAUUCUCUUAACUAUCUGAAACAUUUUUGUCAUAGUUUUAAAUAUUAAUUUGUUCUAUUAUGGAAGAAAAAAUAACAAUCUAGAUAUUUUCUGAGGGAUCGCAUUUUCAGAAUGAUUGGAAUCUAAAAGCUGAAUGAAAAGUACAAUCCCUUUGCCUGAAAUGCUUUGUUGCUCCAUUCUACUUGUCAAAAUUAUAAACAUCUUUGAAGGUUGAGUUCAAAUAUUGCCUCAUUCAUCACCAUCACCAUCAUCAUCAUCAUCAUCAUCAUUCCCUCCUUUUUUAAAAAUUAAUUAAUUUAUUUAUUUUUGCUGUGUUGGGUCUUCGUUUCUGUGUGAGGACUUUCUCUAGUUGUGGCAAGUGGGGGCCACUCUUCAUCGCGGUGCGCGGGCCUCUCACUAUCGCGGCCUCUCUUGUUGCAGAGCACAGGCUCCAAACGCGCAGGCUCAGUAGUUGUGGCUCACGGGCCUAGUUGCUCCGCGGCAUGUGGGAUCCUCCCAGACCAGGGCUUGAACCCGUGUCCCCUGCAUUAGCAGGCAGAUUCUCAACCACUGCGCCGCCAGGGAAGCCCCAUUCCCUCUUUUAAAUCUGCAUGGUUGACCAUCUGCGCUGCCUUACAGCACUCAUUACCUCUACCUUCCCUCAUAGCGAUUUGAGUACCUGACAUCUUUUGUCCUGGGCUGGGCUCUCUGGAGCAGGGAGCAUGUCUAAUUCAUCUGCUCACACUGUGCCUUGUAAGUAGCAGGAUUCUGCGUGAUGUUAGAGCAAUGGUCUGGUUGCCAUUCUGUAAUGGAUGACUGUAUCAGUUGGGGUACAAUUUCACCUGUUCUGCAAGAGACCGAAAAUAGUAAUGGCCAAAACAAGUUAGAAAUUUCUUUCUUUUUUACAUAAAAAAUACUACUCACAAGGAAAUUAGGGCUAGUUAGGUAGUUCUAAAAUAUUUGGAAGCCAGGCUCUUCCUAUCUUUUUGCUCUGCCAUCUCCAGAAUAUUGCCCUUAUCUUCAUGGUAUAAAAUGGGUUCUCUACCAUGUCUAUAUUCCAGACCAUUGAAAGGAGGAAAGGGGGAGAUGGAGGUCCCCCACUUCCACUUAAUGCACAUCUGGGCAGUUGUACACAUUGCUUCCAUUCACAUCCCAUUGAGAACUACGUCUUCUGAUCCAUUUAGUCAAUGGUGUGCUGGAGCCCAGUCCCAGGGCAUGUGAAAGCCCACUGCGUGCAUUUCCUCUCAACUCCGCAUUCAGUGAGUCAUGUUGGCGGCUUGAAAUCAAUCACAGGAGAAUUAACACCACAGAAAUGGGCAAAUGCUAUGAAUCAAGGCUUUUGUUUCCUUCCAUGAGAGCUGAUUAUUAAAAUUUACUUGUAAUCUGCUACACCUAACUGCAAGAGAAGCUGGAAAAUGUAGUCUUUUUUACAACUCCUUGCUCCCAGAUAUGGAAUUGUUAGCUGGGCAGCAGGUGUCUAGCUAACAAUUCUGUAUAUGGGAGGAAGGAGUUGUAUUUCUAUAGAAAAAGCUAAGGAAGAAUAUUUGUAAACAAUUAGAAGUCUCUUUAAACACGACACCAUCUGGGAAUAGAGAAAAAGAAAAUUGGAAAACCUGUUUUUAACUGAGAGAAUAGAUCUAUCUAUAAGUGUAUGUACUUGCAGCCUUUCUGCUGCCAACUUCCAGCUGUGAAAGACCAUGCUAGAGAGAAAUUAAGCUUCUUUGUGUGAGCUCAAGGUAUAGGUCUCUGGGCAGAGGUUACAUGAGCCAAAUUCUGCUCAUUUUUGACUAUUUGUACUGUCCAAAACUGCAACACUGGUUUCCAUCACCGCCAGUGUCCAGGCAGGAGCUGGAUGAUCAUGCACAGGGUUUCCAUAGAGGAGAUUUCAUUGUGACUGGAGGUUCCCCUCACCAUCUCCAAGUCUCUGUUCAUGCUUCAGAUACUCUUCCUGACCCCUCAGAUUCUUAGGGCUUCCAGUACUUUCCUUUGUUCCACUUACCACAGUUGUAAUUAUUACUAUACUAAUGCAGUCGAUGUCAGUCUCCUCAACCAGACUGCAAGAGAAACAACUGAGUUGUUUUACUCACCGUUGUGUCUGCUACAUGGAGCAAAGUGCAUGGCCACUAAGGGCACUCAUUAAAUGCGUGCCAAAUGGAGGCUGAAUGCUGUGACAUAUCAUGUGUGAAAGUGCCUUGUAAACUGCUCACAAUAAUUAUUCUUUAGAAAUAAGAUACUGAGCUACAAAACAGAACAGAAAGCAGGUGAAGGAAGUGGCAGUAAAUACUACCAGACAUCUAGAAGGAACUGAAUUUGAUUGUAAGCUUCCUGGAACUAAGUACAAAAAGAGAACACACUGGGUUACUGAAUUUUCUUUUUCUAGUGAGAUAUGACUUGUGAAGUCAUCGGCAGAGGCCGAGUUUCCCUAGUGAUUUAUUAAAAUGAGACCAUUGUUUCCUCCCAGUUAAUGUUUAAGCAUGAUCAAAUUUCUCCUAACUUAAAAAAAAAAAAAAAGAAGCAGAGACAAAGAACAGAAGAGAAACGUGCCUUGUCAGCUGUCUGACCCAUCCAGAUUCCUUUGUAUAUGGUGUGCGCUGCCUCACUGCGUUGUCCCGGCUUCCUCACCUCCCGGUCAUGGCUCAGCUCACUGGAGUCUUGCUUCUGCUCUGACCACCCUACCCGAGCUGCCGUGCUGAAGGACCAUAGUAAAUGUGUCCUGGCUCUAUCUCGGCUUCAAUCUUUUUUUUUUUUUUAGGAUAGAUUUUAUUCAUUUUUUAAAAUUUUUGUUUAUUUAUUUUUGGCUGUGUUGGGUUUUCGUUGCUGCACGCAGGCUCUCUCUAGUUGCGGUGAGCGGGGGCUACUCUUCUUUGCGGUGCAUGGGCUUCUCUUGUUGCGGAGCAUGGGCUCUAGGCACCCAGGUUUCAGGAGUUGUGGCACGUGGGCUCAGUAGUUGUGGCUCGCAGGCUCUAAAGCGCAGGCUCAGGAGUUGUGGUGCACGGGCUUAGUUGCUCCACGGCAUGUGGGAUCUUCCCGGCAGGGAUCGAACCCGGGUUCCCUGCGUUGGCAGAAGGAUUCUUAACCCCUGCACCACCAGGGAAGCCCUAAGCUUCAAUCUUUAUUGCAGUAGUCAUUUCUUAAUUAUUUGAAACUCUUGCCCCUGCUAGAUCAUGUCCCUUGGUUCUGGGACACAAAACUGUACUGGUUUCCUUCCUGGAGCCUCUUUCUCAGGCUCUUUAAAGGACUGCUUGAGCUCUGUUCUUCCAGGAAGUAUUGGCAUUCCUCGGGGUCUUGAAAUUUUUUCUUUGACCCUUUCCUCUUCUCACUCUACGUAGCCUCCUGAGGAAAUGUGAUUGACGCUAAUGGCCUUAAUUACUCUCUAGAUCUUAAUGACUCCUGAGUUUUGAUCUUUAGAAUGGAUGACCCACCCGAGUUUUAAACCCACAUAUUUAACUACCCUGUGGAUAUCACCUUGAAUUCAGCAUGCCCCAAAUACAGCCCAUAUUUUUCCUUCUUCUUAACCUUUUCUUCCUCACGUGUGCCCCAUCUCAGUGAAGGGUCCUCCCUUCCACCCAGCUUCUCAAGAUAGAAAUCUUGUCAUCCUCUUUAACUUACCUCUCUAACUCCUCCUCCCCCCAACACUCAACCAGCAAGUCCUAUUAACUCUCCUUCCUAAAUAUCUCUCAAAUCAGUCCACUGAUCCCUAUCACCAAUGUUGCUACCUUAACGCAGGCCCCUGGAUUUCCAUGCCAGCUCUUCACCAGCUAUGUGCUGGUCUUACCCUGCUUCUAACUGAUUUUCCACAAAGCAGCCAAAGUGGUCUUUCUGAAGCAACACUCUGAAACUUGUUGCUGCCCUGCUUACAACUUAUCAAUGGCUCUCUGUGGCCUUCAGAAUAAAGACCUAACUCCAUAAUGAGGCUUAAGCGGCCCUGCCUGUUCUGACUCCUGCUUACCUUCCAGCCUUGUCUCCUUCUGACUUCUAAACCCCACUCCUAAACUCCACACUCCCACCAGCUGAGCUGCCUCCGCUCUCCACAGUACCUGGCUCUCUCUUGCCCCAGUGUCCCGGCACGUGUUGUGUUCAGGGGCCCAGUCCAAGUGGCCUUCCUUGACUUUCCAAGUCUGUGUUAGGUCUCUCAUGGAACCCUGUCCUCACUCUACAUGGCACUGUCUUUGGUGUAUUUUAAGGAUUUUUAAACCAGGGUACAAACCAAGUCAACAGACUUUUUCUAUAAAGGGACAGAUUACAGAUAAGAAAUAGUUUUGUCUUUGUGGGGCAUAUGGCCUCGGUCAGUUACUCAGCUCUGCAGUUGGAGAGGGAGAGUGGCCACAGACACUACACAGACUAGUGGUGUGGCUCUCUUCCAAUAAGACUUUAUUCACAGAUGCAGAUGGUGAGCCAGACUUGGCCCAUUGGGCAUAGUUUGCUGACCCCUGGUCUAAAAAACUAAGCUAGUAUGUUCUUAUCCACCUUUGUAUCCACACUGCAGACACAGUACUUGACAUACAGGCUCCUCUAUGAAACUUUGUUGGAUGAAUGAGUGAAUGGAAGAUGAACAAAUAAGGAUGGACCUUUUUCCUCUUUCUCCUCUGUGGCCAUAUCUCCUUGGUCACAAUAUGCUCCACGUGCAUUUUAUGUAGUCAGUGAACCCCCAUGAGGGGGUUUUCAUCUGGCAUGCUCAUCUACACAUUUGUGUUGAGCAAAUACCAUCUCAGAAGUUUUGGUUCCUUUGGUGGUAGUGGUCAAGUUUUAAAUCCUUUGUCACUACUUCCCAGCCGUCCCCCACAACACAGUGUUUUGUUUUUUCCUAGGUAUGAUAGUUAAAUGUUGGAUUCUCCAGAUGCCCUUCAUAUCAUCAUUAUAGACUUUAGUCAUUUUAUUUGUGUGUGUAUAGAUGUAGUCAUUCCUUUGUUCCAUACUUAUUUAAACCUAUCUUAAAACCUUUUUUGAGCAGGUAAAAUAUUAGAGAAAAAAAAAACUCAGUUAAAUCAAUGAAAAAAGCACUUAUUAAGCAGAGGGCACAGGUGAAGUUUCAGCGGGCAGUCAGUGGGGACAAAGAUAACUCAGAUAAGGUAUUGUCUCUGAAGGGCUUAUAAUGCAGAAGGGAGAUAAGAAGGUGGGCAAUUUCAAUACAAUGUAGAAAGUGCUAUGUCCUUUGAAGAAGGGAUCAGCAAAGUACUCUGGGACUUUGAUAGGAAGUGAAACUUGUCUUUAGCCAAGGAGAUCAAAGAAGGCUCUGAGAGAGAAGCAUUCAAGCUGGACAUGGAAAUGUAGGUAUUUGGGACACUGAUAUGUCACUAAAGGGUCUUCGAGACAGAGGAAAGAAUAGGCACACCCACAAGUUACUAGAAAGCAAGUUUUAAUGAAGCUACGUCCAGGGACCGGCUGAUAAAAGUGCAGCCAAAUCCCUUCAAGGAGGUGCCAAGUCCAUUCUGGUCUGGAAUGCAUUGAUAAUUGGGACAUUAUGCUCAGACACUGCAAAUUGACAUUCUGUCGUCAUCCCUCUUGGAAUAGAAACCCUGAUCCUUUCAAGUAAUUAGCACCAAUUUGGAGCUUGUGUGCAAAAAUAAAUCACAAGUGUCCAAAAACAGAUACAUUAAGUUCAAUGGUUAGGAAGCAAACGUUCUUAUUAGCUCCGCCUACAUCAACAAAAUCAGAAGCAAUUAGCAUUUAAAAAUAGAAGAGACAAGGAGAGUUCACAGUUCCCACUGGAAAAUUAUUAUUUGUAUAAAUGUCCACAAUGUUGACCUCCAUGCACCCUUCCUGACCUCAGUCAUGUUAUUUCAAUGGCUAAAGGAUCAGUUUUCUUUUGUGAGGGUUAGGGAGGAGAACCGUGAUUCUGUGUGUAUUGUCCUGGUUGAAACUGAGAGGUGCGUGGCCUCUAGCACUCAAACAGGUAGGGCUCCAUCUCCUCUUCACUGGGCCUCACCCCAUCCUCUGCACGGAUGAGAAGAGGAUCUGCUGUGUCUUGAAAUGCUCAGCAGAUCUGCCCCCAGAAGCCCACUUGCAUUCAGUAGUGUUGACCUUCACCCAUGGGACACCUGCCUGCUGGAGAAAGCCUCAGUGGUCCAUCCUGAGGAAGGGUGGCAGCUCCCAGGAACCCAGCAGUGCACACUUUGUAGUGGCCCUUGACGCACUCUCUAGGACAUGGAAUGUCUCAGUCAAGGAUGGAGUCUCACCAUUGGCGUUCGGUGUCAGACUGCAGAGGCAAACUGAGCACGGAGCACCUGAGGGACUGAGGUGUGAUAAAGAGCACUGGCCGCUGGCUCGACAGGACUCGACAAGUCCAGGCUGUGUCACUAACUUGCUCUGUAAACUUGGUCAAACCACUAGCUCUUUCUGGGCCUCAUUUUCCUCAUCCUUAAAAUUAGGGGCUGAACUGGGUUAUCUUUUUGCUUUAUUCCAUAUGGUUUUUUUUUACCCUUUGAAAAUUCAAGUCUUUUUCUGCCUCUUUUUAUCCCCCUGCUUGGAAACAUAUAGUGAAUGGCAGGCUGGAAGGUGAGGUGUAGGACUCAAAUAUUUUUCUAUUCCUCAAAAAUGUGUGAAAAUAUACCCCAUACUCCCUUCCCCCAAAAGACUGUGGCUUUAGGAACACAGGACAGGCAAGGAAGACACAGAAGGUCCACUUGGCAGGGCCAGGGCAGAACCCAGCUGAUCGCCAUCAGCCUGAGAAACAAACAUCACAUUUAAAGUUGAUGGGGGGGACUUCCCUGGGGGCGCAGUGGUUAAGAAUCCGCCUGCCAAUGCAGGGGACAUGGGUUUGAUCCCUGGUCCGGGAAGAUCUCACAUGCCGUGGAGCAACUAAGCCCGUGCACCACAACUACUGUGCCUGCGCUCUAGACCCCGAGAGCCACAACUACUGAAGCCUGCGCACCUGGAGCCCAUGCUCUGCAACAAGGGAAGCCACCGCAAUGAGAAGCCUGCACAACGCAACUAGAGAAAGCCCGCACGCAGCGACGAAGACCCAAUGCAGCCAUAAAUAAAUAAAGUUGAUGGGACUUUGGAAUCAUUAUGGGCUGAAGAAGGAGAGAUUUGCUCAAAGUGGCAAGUUAAAGACAACUGUGAUUCAACUUAUUGGCUCCCAGUCCUUUUUCUACCAUGUCUUUCUUCCUCUGGCUUUCGUAUUUCUAACCCGUAAUCAGAGCCUAGGGACUGAUGACAUGUGUCCACUUUAAAUAAAAAUAUCAGUUUUUUAUAGGGAUGGGGAGUGGAUUAAAUCUUUGACCAUUAGUUUUUGUUAGGGCAUCACUCAUUUUUUCAUACUUUCCCUCUUAAUUUUUCAUUUUUCUCCCUUGUAAUUAAUACCAGUUUCCCCAACCACCUUGCACACACACGAAUGUUUUUCCUUUUUUUUUUUGCAAAAAUUAAGAGUUGAGCUAGCUCCUUCUUGUGUAUCUUCCCAUCUGCCAGUCAGUUUAUAUUCCAACGCCUCGUCCAUACUUUCCUCGAGGUUUCUAAUUUCCCUACGUACAGAUCCAUCUCCUCUGGUAAGUCAUAAGCUCUUUGAGAACUGGGAACGUCUUUGGAUUUCUGUUUCCAAGGCCAGAAAUGCUGCUCAGUUGUUGAUUGAAUACAUUCAUGGAAGAAAGAGGCACUUCAUCCGUAUCCAGAUUGUGCCCUGAAGGCCCUCAGAGUGAUGAUAAGCUUAGCAGUGGCCUCCAUUUCAUCCUUUAUGAGGAAUCAGAAAAGGUCAGAGAAUGGGCAGAUCAGGCUUGGCUUCAUUGGAUUUCCUACCUUAUUUCUCUAUGGCUGUAAACUCAUCAAAGAGCACUCCUGGGUGGCCAGAGUACACAGAGGGACCCUGCCCAGGCUUAGGAGAUGGGGAACAAGAGCAAGAAGCCAACUCCUAAACUUUGGGUUGUCAGUCUCAGCAUGAGGGCAUCCCAGAGCCAACCCCCCACUGACUUUGGCCAGGGACCUAGGUCUGUUCACUGUGCAUAAGCAUUUGUCAACCUGGCCACUGGGAGGGGAUCCUGGCAACAGACAGGCACCAAGGGUGGUACCUGAAACAAUGUUGGAUCGAGUGGCCUUUUCACUCAGAAGCUUGGAGGAGGAGAAGGAGGGGGAGAUGAUAUAAAAAUCCAUGUGACUUCUGUCCAAUGGCAAGAGAGAAAGGAGAGGCUUCUUAAAUGGUAGUGAAAGGUGAGAUGGCACAGGGAUGAGGGAGUGAGAGAAAGUCCUUGUGGACAGGAGAUGGAGGAAGAGUCUGGACUGAGGCUGGAGGAAUGAGAGACAGAUAUAAGAAAGACUGAGAACAAAUACAUAUGGGAAGGAAGGAAAUGAGGGAAGGAAGGAGGGAGGGAGAAAGGAAGGAAGGAGGGAAGGAGAGAGGGAAUGAAUGAAAGGACAUUAAAAUGCUAAAAAAGAGACAGGCACAGACAUCAGGAGAAAAAAUCAGAACUAGGUUGGGAAUGAAAGAAAACUGUGAGGAGAGAGAAGAGAGAUGCAAUGAAGGAGGGUGUGUACACACACAAGACAGGGACAACUUAACGCCAACCUGACCUGCUCAGCUCAGAAAAAUUUCGUUUGUGAGCCUGGCACAGGAAAGAUCUGGACAGAGAGGGAAAUGGGCUGACUCCUGCCCAGGGCCUGUCGGAGGAAACAGAUCAAUUAACCUGGGUGGGGAUCUCCUGUGCCAGGCCUGGCACUGCCAGCUCUCCGUGCCCAGCUAGGCUAGGCCAAGGACUCUCAUGUGAUCCUUGAGCUAUUAAAAGGCCAUCAGCUGCAGGGCAGAAUCAGCCUUUUACGCUGAGAAAAACCCUCUUCUCAUGCGGACAUCACUUCCUAUGGCCCAGAAACCACCUCUCAGACAGGCCCAGCCCUGGACCCAGUAAACCCGCACCCCUUGGCCUGGGGAAACUGACCAUUGGGAAUCUCAGCAGGUUUCGAGGACCCUCUGGGGGCCAACACAGCCUGGAACAUCCAAUUGAUGAAGUGAUCUUAGGGCAUAUUUGUGGGUGGAGCAGGAGGUGUCUGGGGCAGAAUGUUGCCUUAGAUCUUGGAUCACUGGGUGCACGUUAUAGGGAGAAAGAUUUCAGCACCAGGAAGGACUUUGAAAUCAAAGCUAGACAAAGCUGGAUUCAUUAAUUUGUACAUUUGUUAUUUUUCCAACAAUUUUUGAGCAUCUACAAUGGGUGGGGCAUUGUGCUAGAGGCUGAAGAGACAAGUAAACACAUCCACUGGCCUCAGGGAGAGAACAAUGGCGACUUUGCUUCCUCUACCCAAUUUAACAGUAGGAAGGUGCGCGUGGAGUGUAUCGGGAGCACGAAGGUGACUGAUCCUGUUUCCAGGACAAGCAAGUUUUCCAGGAAAAGCAAGUUUUCCAGGAACUGCGCAUUGGAGUACAGCCAUAAAGGUUGAGUAGGAUCCAUGAGGCAGAGAAAGUGGAGGAAUCCUAGACCAAGAGAAUCACAGGAAGAAGCUGGAAAGUGUGAAAGGGCAGGUGGCUUACCUGGGGGAUGAACCGGAGGAAACACCUUAGUAGACACGCCGGCCUCUCUGGAGAUAAAGGUGGGAUGGAGGUGGGUCCAGAUAAGGACAGACAAAUAAAAAGGCACAGAGACACCCCAAAUUUUAGUCAGAAGGGAGCUUAGAGAUGAUGGAAGUCAUCUUUGUCCUUGUUACAGAAGUUUUCAAUUUUAAUGUGAGUGUGUGUGUGUGUGAAAUAGGCUUCAUUGAAGAGUAUCCAGGGUUGGACACAGAAGAAGGAGGCAUGAUAGCAACUCAAAUAAUUUCAAACUGGGGACUUCCCUGGUGGUCCAGUGGUUAGGACUCUGUGCUUCCACUGCAGGGGGCACGGGUUUGAUCUCUGGUUGGGGAACUAGGAUCCCGCAAGCCGCAUGGCGCGGCCAAAAAUUAAAAUAAAAUAAAAUUUAAAAAAAUAAAAUAAAACGUUCAAAUAAUUUCAAACUGAAUAUGUGAUUCCUCUUCUCUGAAGAGACCUGCUAGGCUGUCUUUACUGACUGCUUUACCUGGAGUGGUGGCCACCAGCCUCCUGCCUUCUCAGGGUUUUUUCUCUGCCUUCUUUCCCAUCUCAAGUCUUCACCCAGCCCUCCAGACUGCCCGCACCAGGCACAGAAAAUUUUCUCUGUUGGGUCUCCUUUAGAUAAUGGAGCCAUCUGAUAAAGUUACAGCAGCAUCUUGGAUUCACAACAACCCCGCCAGCUCCUCACUGAACAACACGUCGUCUGGCAACAGGAGGUGCUUGAUUACAUUUGGCUGGAGCGCCGGCAUCAACUCCAGUUGUCCCUGAAUUGGAAUUGAUGGGCCUCACGCGCUGCAGCCAACAGUUUGCCUUCACCCACUCCCCUCUCUCAAAUGAACCUUCUUCUGGGACAACAAGAAACCUACGUGCCAUCCUGGGUGAGAGACGAAUGGGAGCUGCGUCCCAGCAUCGAAUCCCUGGAGAGACAGGGAAGAGCAGACUCGGAGGGGUUCCCGACAGCAAGCCAUGCUUCAAGCAUUUCUGGAGAGACCCCCUGGACCACAGGACGCAAAUGCUCUCUCUGGAGGACUGGAGCCUCUGUGUUCCUUUCAGCUCAUGGGCAUCGAUUCUCCUUGUGUGCAGGGUAGGGCAUCAAGCGACUCUCCCCUUUAGGCAAGCCUCCAUGACCUCCCUCCCCCUAUUCUGACUUAUCUGCUCAGUGAGUCACUUGCGCAGGCAGAAUAAAUGCCCCCGAAGAUGUCCACGUCCUAAUCCCCAGAACCCGUGAAUAUGUUAUAUUAAAUGGCGAGGGCUAAUUAAGGUCGCGGAUGGAAUUAAGCUUGCUCAUCAGCCUACCUUAAAAAAUAGGGAUAUCAUCCAGGACGAAUCAUGGGGCCACAGUGUAUUCACAAAGGUCCUUAAAUAAGGAAGAGGGAGGCAGAAGAGUCAGAAGCAGACUGGGGGCAUUGUGAAAAAGACUUGACCUGCUGUGGUUGCCUUUGAAGAUGUAGGAAGGGGCCACGGACCAAGGAAUGUGGGCAGUCUCUACAAUCUGAAAAAGACAAGAAAAUAGAUUUUCCCCUGGAGCUUCCUUGAUUUUAACCCAGUGAGGCCUAUUCAGACUUCUGACUUCCAGAUUUGUAAUAUUUUUGCUGUUACAGCAGCCAUAGGAAACCAGGACUGUCACCAUGGACUGUCGCCAUGUACCCAGCCUGGUACCGGUGCUGAGGUAACAUUCCCCAAGCAUGUGAUUUCUACCUUGUAUUAGUCAUCAGGAUCUAACCAGGGAAACUGAGCCCACUCUAAGUGUCUAAACACAGGAAAUCGAAUGCAGAUCAUUGGCUGUAUAGACGAUAGAAGAAGUUCAAAAGCCAGUCCAGCCAUUAGCCAUAACAGUGGUUGCUACUAGGAUGCUACUAGGCUGAGCUAGAGGGACAAAGAGAGGAGAUCAUAUACCGGAGUCCAGAGGCCAGGAUCACCUGGAAGAAGCUGGACCAUGGUGGGCCUGUCUAGCAGGAGCUGGAGCUAUGGAGGGAACAGAGCCCUGCUGUAGAAGCUGCCUGAGACAGAAAGGGAAAGAGAUAUACACCCUGGUUUCUCCCUUUCUCCUACCCUCCAAUCUCCCACCAACACCUCCCAUUGGCUCUUACUAGCUGGAAGGCAGCUGACGUGGGAGCCUGGGGUACACAGGAGGAAGCCCUCCUGCAGGACAGAGCGGAGCUGGGAAACAGCAGUGAGCGGAUUAAUGGAUUUGUAGAUGAAUAGGCCCCAGACUGGUACAUACCUCCUUUCUGCUUUGAUCACCAUGAAUCUUGAAACAUAAUUUAUUGUUUAAAAUCCAAAUUCUUGACCGUGGCUUCUAAGACCUGACAUAACCUAGCCUUCCUCUAAUUUCUCUGCCCUCAUCCUAUAAAGUUCUCCCCUCAUUCACAGCACCCCAACCCUUCUGGCCUUUGUUCUGUCCUCAGUACGCCAGGCAAGUCCCAUCUUGGGACCUUGCACUUGUUUGUUGUAGCCUCUGCUGGACUUCCCUCCUCUUGUCUCUCCCCUACUGAUCACUUUUUAUCAUUUGAGUUUCAGCUUAUGUAACACCCUCCCCCAUCUAAAAUAGGUCCCCUCACCAAAAGUCACCAUCGUAUUCCCCUAUUUUUUUUUUUUCUUCAAAGUAGCUAUUAUUAUCUGAAAUUAUCUUGGCUAUAUGUGUAUCUAUUUAUCAUAACCUUCCCCAGGCUGUAAGCUCCUUGAGGGUAGGGAAUCUGUCUUGCUGCUUGCUAUGUCCUUGUAUCAGCAUUGGCUAGAUAUUCACCAAAAUCUAUCUCUUCUUCUUGGAAACAGAGUAAGCUCAUGUCCUAUUCCUUUGUGGUUAGGUGUGAUGAAGUUCUAGCUAAUGGAACAGGAGUGGAAACAUUCAGUGCUGCUUCCCAGGCUUGGCCCAUGAAAACCUCUCAUGCACACUCUUGCAUGUUUUCCCCUUUCUGGCAGAUGUUGACAAGGCCCUACGGGAUGGUGGAGGCACAAGAUGAAAGGAACCUGGGCGGUUGAAUGACUAAGUGAAGAAGGGUUGCCCCAGCAACCUGCAUACCCAUCCAGGACUAUUAUGUGAACAAGAAACAAAUGUGUUUUGUGUUGAGUCAUUACAUUAGCCUGUCCUAACCAAAACAAUUCCCACUGCCAAGAAUUCCCAAAGCCUUGUCCAUAAUUGGCUCUCAGUAGCUAUUGAAUGAUUGACUGUUAAACACUCAGUAGUUACAUGUUCAGGGAAGGAAUGUCUUCUCCUUACCCUCAUGCCUUACCUGCCAAGCUCCCUGUAUAUUCACCUCUGGACUCUCGAUGGCUUUCAUGGAGCCUCAGCCUUUGUAGGCGUUUGAUAGUCGUGUGUUGCGUUGAGUUUCUAGGCAGCAUGAGGGAGACAGUGACCAGGCAUGGUCUGCAAGUGUGAGUUUAAGCAGGUAUUCUGCAUUGCCAUAACUACCAAUGUUUGUGAGGUUCUUUAGAGUUAACAAAGGGUUCACUCACUUGAUCCUUAUAACAACUCUGAAAGGAAAUGGCUAUUAUGACCCCCAUUUUACAGUUGACGUGUCUGAGCUCAGAGGUUAAUUAUCUCGUUCAAGAUCUUACUUUUUCAAGGGAUGAAGCUGGUGUUAAUUCAUUGUUCAAAAACAUUUAUGGAGUAUGUACAAUGUGCUAGCCCCUGUCUAAAGCUUCCGUACCUAGUAGGGGUCUCAGGAAACAUGGAAAUCCAAAGUUCUGAAGACACCUCCCAGAAAAUAAGAGGGAGGCCCCAGUUCAAGCCCAGGACUGAGAGCUUUGCCUGUGUCUUGCAGCUUAUGUUGUUAGCUAUGACGCUGCCACGGCUGUGUGCCUUGGGGCAAGCUUCUGGGUGGUCUCCCAGACCUGCCUGGAUACAACAACACGGCUGGGACCCCUCAGCAACUCUCCCACUUGCCCAGCCUAACGGCCCUGGCAUUCUAAGUCUGCCCUUUUCCAUACAUUCUUUCCUCCUUCCGUGCCAAGAUUGCAGCAGACGAUUUAGAAUGGGUUCCAGGCCAUUUAGCUCAGUCAGAGAUUUGGGUGAAAGUUUCCUCCCACCCAUCCCAGGCCUCAGAUAACCCAUCAGAGGGUGACAUCCCACACAAAGGAGGUGGAAGAAACACUGUGGAGACUUUCAGGCACGGGAUUGGAGCAAAAGUUUUGGCAGCUACUGCAUUUCUCCACCCUCUUCUGGCUGUACGAAGUGUGUCAGUAGUGGGUCAGUUGGAAAGCUUAGGACAGAAAGCCCAAGAGGAUGUAACUUGUCUAAACGGAGAUGGCCAAGGCCCCUGGAGGGUCACCCGCAGGUUGGAUUAUUUGCCGACGCAGAGAGGAAAGUGCUGGCAUCUGAGGGGCCUGUGGAAGAGGAAGAGGAAAGUUAGAUGGCCCGUCUCUGCCAGAGCUCAGCCUUUCCCAGCCGGACGACACUCCUCUCGUGCUUGGGUGCUUCUCUCUGUAAAUAAAUCCUGGCUGCUCUUACAGUGCAGGACGUCCCACAUACCGUACCUCUGAGGUGGGGUGAAAUACAAAUAUGCCUUUUCAUAAUAGCUUUACACCUGGAGCAGCAGAGGACUGGUUUAUUGCCUUGGUAAACAGAAGUUUGAAUUCAAGCAAAGUACAAACUUUGCCCAAGGCACUUCUGACAGUGCACCUUGUGUUUGCGAAGUGAACUCGGUAUAUAUGCACGAUGUGAAGCAAUGGAAGGCUGGCCUUUCUCUCUCAUCUGAUUUCCAAGGUUUAAAAGUUCAGCUCCUUGAGGAAUGCAUUUGGCUUAGUUAUUGCAAGCUUUUAAGAAAUUAUCGGAACAUAAAUACUCAUUGCAAGGAAACAGAUAUGAGUUGCAAAUGGAUUAAACAUAAUCCUUGUGCGAGCCCUUGAGGGAAAAUAGACGGGGAUCUCUGGGCUGUGAGACAAAUCUCGGUCAAGGAUGCUUGCUUUGGGGACUCUGCUCUAAAAACCCGGAGCACGGGCUCUAGGCGCACAGGCUUCAGCAGUUGUGGCACGUGGGCUCAGUAGUUGUGGCGCACGGGCUUCGUUGCUCCACGGCAUGUGGGAUCUUCCCAGACCAGCGCUCGAACCUGUGUCCCCUGCAUUGGCAGGCAGAUUCUUAACCACUGUGCCACCAGAGAAGUCCCCAUCACUGCUUUUCAAUACAGGUCCACAGAUUGAGUCCAUGGAAAGAUGUUUGCCCUGAGAAAGAAGAGAGAUGAGAACCCUGGAAUACUUCCACAACGGUGAUUGGAAAUCUUCUUCAAGGGGGCUGAAUGCCUACUGCAACCUGGGUGUGACUAAUCCACAGGCACUUCCAUACGGUAUGGAUCUUGAGUUGUCCUUGCCAUCUUUUGCUUCAUGGAAAGAUCAAUGGAGAGAAAACAAGGACAUUUUCCAAGAUUUCAUGAUGAAUCAGCAACGGCUCUGAGGCAACAUUCCGUUACUGGAUGAGGAAUCAGAAGACAUAAAUUCCAAUCCUUACAUUAUCUCUAACCAUGUGAGAGACCUAGGGCAACUCACUUCCCUUUCUGAGUCUCAGUUUUCCCCCAUCAUGGAAGGGUUUUGCUGGGUGACCUCUAAGAACCUUUCAGCUCUGAUGGCCUAUGGGUCUAGAAGACAAGGCUCAGAGCUAUGUCAUGCCUAAAGCGUGAUCAUUUGAAGCCAGAAGUUGACUGCUACCAUGACGUACCUCAAGGCCCCUCAACCUGUAAGGGAUAAACGGGUUCUGCAUCCAAAACAGAGUAACAGUGUCUUUCAGCGAUUUGCAUGCAAAAAAUAUAUAAGUUCAGUUUUAUUUUUUUCCAUUGCUUUUUUUUCUCAAGCUCUUAAUGCCUGUUUUCACUUGUCUGCUUGCAAGGGCAAGCAUAUAACACAACAAAUAAAUGAAUAACAGACAAAUAGCACAUGAAAGCUCAGAAAUACAGUAUCUUUAUCAUUUUUCCUUUUGAAGUAUAGUAAGGAAAAUAAUAUUUAUUGAAUAUUUCCCACGGUUUAUAUACAGCAUCUUAUUUAAUAUCUUUAAACAAUCAGUGUUAUCAUGGCUUUUUUGCAGAAGAUAGCACUAAGACUCAGAGAUAAAAUCAUUUGCCUAAAUAUCGUAUAUUAACACAUAUAUGUGGAACCUAGAAAAAUGGAACAGAUGAACUGGUUUGCAGGGCAGAAAUAGAGACACAGAUGUACAGAACAAACGUAUGGACACCAAGUGGGGAAGGUGGCGGUGGGUGGUGGUGGGAUGAAUUGGGCGAUUGGGAUUGACAUAUAUACACUAAUAUGUAUAAAAUAGAUAACCAAUAAGAAGCUGCUGUAUAAAAAAAUAAAUAAAAUUAAAUUUAUAAAAAGUUAAAGAUUUUGAAAAAAAUAAAAUAAUUUGCCUAGUAUACACACAAGCAGUAAAGCCCAGAUUUGAAGCCAGUUUUUCUGACUCCAAAGCCUACAUGAAUUUCCACAAUCAAAAAUUUGCAUGCAGAAAACACAGACAUACUGUUUUUGAGCAAAACUGACUUUCUGUAAGAGAGGGAAAUUAAAUAUAUCAGCAUUUUAGUGGGUUCCACAAAGAACAACACCAUGGUUUCCCUGGGUUCCGACAUUAGAACAUCUUUGAAAACAGGCAGAUAAUGUGAGGCUUUAGUCUGACUUUCCCCAAGAAUUUUAAAGAGAGGGGAUAUCUAUGUCUAGAAAUAUUUCGAUCAAAAUAUUUAUUAAUAUAUCCAUAGGAUUAAAGGUGAGAUGACUGUUUCUUCGUUUAGAAUUCAUGUUACUUUAAAAAUACACCAGGCUUUUGUCCUGACCCCCUCCCUAGGCAUUCAAUCCGGUAGUCCUCCCUGGGAUAUAGGGCAAGAUUAGAGUGGGCUUGAAUGAACUGUUUCUGAUUCAGAGACUCCCCUAAGACGGGAGUCUAUAUAGUGCCUUCUCAAAGUGGCCCAUAUAUCAGUCUCCAAAUCUGUGGAGCAACUGGGACCAGAUCACAAGUUCUUUCAUCCAACAUUCUUUGACUGCCCUGGAUGCUUCCGGCACAGGGCAAGACUAGCUCUACCAAAACAAGUACAAUUUAGUCUUGAUGUGGCCUUGGACACCUAACCUAUGUCAGGCCUAGACUCCAGGAACAACUGUGGGAGGCUGCAUUGUCCUGUGCCUGCCUCCAUGCUCUAGAGAUAAAAGUCAAGUGAUAUGGCAAAGGGUGCUGCAUUUUCUGUUCUGGCUUUCACCAAAAUGAAAUAUCUGUGUCCAUUUUGUCUCCCAGUAAUUGCCAGAAAAAUCAAAGAACAUCAAAGUUUGAAAUGACUCUGGAGAGCUGGCUAUCACUCCAUCUCAAAUCUCUCCUUUUAGAGAUGAGGUUACUUUAUUUAUUUAUUUAUUUUUAUUAUUAUUAUAUUUUUUGUGGUACGCGGGCCUCUCACUGUUGUGGCCUCUCUCGUUGCGGAGCACAGGCUCUGGAAGCACAGGCUCAGCGGCCAUGGCUCAGGGGCCCAGCCGCUCCGUGGCAUGUGGGAUCUUCCCGGACCAGGGCACGAACCCGUGUCCCCUGCAUCGGCAGGCGGACUCUCAACCACUGCGCCACCAGGGAAGCCCCUAGAGAUGAGGUUACUGAGGUUCAGAGGGUGGAGGGUUGUCGAAGGUCACCCAUAGGUCACCCGAAGGUCACCUAAAAUCCAGGUCUCCUGGCUCUACACUCAAUGCUCCUUUCACUGCUGUUGUCUAAUUGCCUUGGUAAUGGGCAAGACAUUAGCCUAGAAGGAAAAGAAGUCACUCUUUGUUUAAUGAAAAAUUAUAACUGAGUGGAUAGAUAGAUCUGUACUUCCUCAAACUGCAGUGGCUCAUGGUUAUGUUGGACUGAUUCUAUGACCUAGUAACAAAAACACCUUAUGCUGCCCCAUUAUGAACAUCCUGAACACACCAGACCUUUUCAUGUUCUGCAAAUUAUAGUCCCUGGGUCUGGAAUAUCCUUCCCCUUUCUCCUUGUGGCAAACACUCUUUCAGACCCAAUUCCAUCACUUCCUCUAUGGAACUGUGGUGGAUUUGUUCUGUGGCACCUUAGGUAAGCUGGAACUAUGUUCCCAGACUCCCCUUACAUAGUAGUGUUGGCUACAAGAGACAUUUUUCACAAUAUUUGGAAUAUAGAAGUGAAGCUACUAUGUUAUAAUAUUUAGAAGGUUGUUGCAGGGCACCACGUGUCUCAGUGUCUCAUUCAUAUUGUUCCUGAUUUGCUGGUUUACCUGUUGGGGUGGAGCAGUAGCUGAGCCCUCAGGUCCUCCAAUUCCCAUCAGAGCUCCUCUUGUAGCGCCUCUGAAUCCUGCACCAACAUGUAGGGCUCCAUGGGGAAGGCCAGGUUCUCCUACAGGUCACCAAGGUCAUCACCUAAAGAGAGUGAGAGGCGGAAAUGGACUCCAGUUGGUCCUUGCAGGUUGCAGUCCAUCAUUGCUCCCCCCACUUCAUGCCAUUUCUCUUUCCUAACUGCAUGCCAUGCUGACUCCAAGUCCAGAAACAGACUCUGAAACAACAGCCUCACCUCAGCUGAAUGGGCAGUUCCUAUAAUUGUGAGAAAGGAGCUCUGAUAAUGAAUCUCUAGUUCUACAACACAUGAAGUGGUUUUGCUUCUCUGAUGGAACCCUAAGUGAUCAGGAGUCUUCUGUGAAGCCCCCAGAAUCAGUCAUUUCCAGGCUGUGCCCUUCUAUUACAGCAGACAACACACUGUGCUGUACUCUCAUGAUGGACAAGUCUCUCUCUCAUUAGCAGGGAUAGCUGACAUGUACUGCGUGCUGACUUUGUGCCAGGCACUAUUUUGAGCACAGAGUUAAUUCUUACAACUGAAUGAGGUAAACGUUAUUAUUAUUCCCAUUUUAUAGACAAGGCAACCGGGGACCAGAAAAGCUAAGUGAUUUACCCAGGCUUUCACAACUAGGAAGGGGAAGACCCAGGAUUCAAAACCAGGCAGCCUGGUCCAGAGCCAGCACUCUGACCCUCUCUGUGCAAGCUCUUUAAGGAACAAGUCUCAUUCGUUACCCAACUCUGGCACUAGAAUGAAAGAAUGAUCCAUCUACUUCAUCUGAAGAUAAAAUGACUUUUCUACAAAGUUGAUGGAGCAUGGAUGACAAUGGAAGCUUUGGAGCCUAGGGUCCUACUGUACCUUGAAUGCUAUCCCUCCCGGACUGGAAGGCGAGAUUAUAAACAGUCCAUAGUCAAGGUCUUGUUAGUAGACAAGAGAACUGCUUACACACAAAGUGUGCAUCACCUGAAGGCCAUCAGCAUGCUUUCUGGGAGCAGCAAACCGACAAUGCAGCACACCACAAGAUGAGCCUGUUUUUCUCCCCAGCCCAGGCCGACACCCCACCCUGGGUGGAGUCCUCUCUACCCUGUGAGUCUCCCAGACUGGAGGGCUGAGCCCAGCUGGAGGGCAGAAUUACCACCCAGGUGCUAUGUAUACAAUUCCUGUUUAAUACUUCACUUCUUCUACGUAACCUCAAAACUGCUUUUUGUAUGUAGUAAACAUGGACUAGGACUCACAUUUAGUUUUUAGUGUGAUUGCCAGUUUCUAGAUAUCAAAUUUGAAUGAAGACUCAAGUUUGGACUUCACAUCAGUGUAUCUUGGGCCGUAGAGUCUGUUGUUCAAUGUGAAAUUGGGUGUUCCCUAUUCACCUAUCCAGGAGGGACAUGGGGAAAUUAAUGGCCUCUAUCUUACGUGCAACACACCAAAAGUUUUUUUUUAAUAAAAGAAGAGAGAAAUGGAAAAAAAAUUAAAAUGUGUAGGAAAAAUGGUAAGAAACAAAAAUCAGUUGCUACAUCAGUGAGGUACAAGGCCUGUACUGCUCUUCUAGGACACAGAAGGAGGCAGGUUAAGGUCUAGAAGCUUCAUGCAACUUGAAGUGUUCCACUAUUCACAUAAGAGGAGAAAACCCUCGUGAUAUUUAGUGCGCCAUUAAUGGCCAGUGUCGACAUUAUGUACAUGUUCUAUAUCAGCCAACCAGAAGGGCUUGUAGUAUUCAAAUUCAGGGCUUUUAUUCAGGGUAAGACUUGAAGAGGACCUAGUCCAACCUUUCAUUCACAGAUGAGGAAACUGAGGCUCUGAGAAGGUAGAUCCUCCGAUUCUAGACUGAUACUAGCCAACCUGGGAAGAGGCCGAGAGCAAAGGUGUCCCAGCCUGGAAGCAGGGAAGUCAGCUGAGACCCAGGGCUCUGGCUCCAGCAUGGCAGCCAGCCUCCUCGCAGGGCUCCACUUGCUACCUGGAGCCCCACAGCAACCCCAUGCCUCCCCUGCAGGAUACUAAAGCAAGGGACUCAGAGUGGGCUGUCCUGAGGCCCUGCUGGCAGUAAAAUCCUGUUGCCCAGCCUGCGUGGAGCAUGUUAAAACCUUCCUGGGACUUUAGCCCAAACUCAUAACCUCUUUUCAUUCCUCCCACACCUUCUGAGAGCUAGCUUUCCAAAACAGCCCCUGCCGCACCCCCGAACCCCCAGACAGGAGCCUCUCAAGAGCUCUUUCUUCACUUCAAAUCCAAAGGAGAAGACGGACCCAGAGGUUGGGGACAGUACCACUAAGGAGAUUUACUUCCCUUACAAAUCUUCCCAUCCAGGAACAUUUCACCUGGAAUGAAAGAGCACCAAUGCAGAGAGCCUUUAGAGACAUUCCAGUUCAAGUCACUCAUUUGUUGGAUGAAACUGGGACCCAGAGAAGGGGCAUGCUUUGCCUAAGGGCCCUCAAGGAGUCAGGUGGGCUAGGGCUGCAGGAAGGUCUCUGGUCUCUGGGCACCGCUCCUGCCAGGUGCAUCCAAUCGAGUGAGUGAGUGUGUGUGUGUGUGUGUGUGUGUGUGUGUGUACAGGCCUGUGUGAGCAUGCAGUUGGUGCCAGGAACCCGGGUUGCACUGAAAAGUUUUCUGGUACAUCGUGGACGGGUGGAGGAGAGAAGGGGUUUGCUUGCAGGUAGGGUAAAAACGACUUGCAUAUGGCAGAUGACAUUUUUAUCUUCAACUGAACCAGAAGUGAAGAGUCCAACUCACAAUUUUACCUACUACUAUUUUGAACAAUCAUUAACUGGAAAGUAAUAUAUGUUUAUUAUAGAAAAUUUGGAAGUUAGAAGAAAUGUGAAAGAAAUAAAACUACCCAUAAUUCCACCAUCUAGAAACCACCUUUGUCAAUGUUUUGGUUUACAUUCUUCAGCCUUUGAAAAAAAGUGCGAUUAACUGGCAUGUUCUGUUUGGUAAUCUAAUAUUUGCAUGUUCUAGUGAAACUUUGUUUUCAUAAUGCUAAAUACUCCUCCAUGGGAUGUUUUCAGUGGCUGCCUAGUUAUUCAUGCUGUUGGUUUAUCCAUUCAACCCAUUUCUUACUGACGGACACUUUGGUAACUCCUCUUUUCUCCCAUCAAAAAUAAUAGUGAGAUAAAUGUCUCUGGAUCUCUGGUUAUUCUUGGAUGAGAUUCUUAAGAUAGAAUUAGUGUAACGAAGAGAAUGACACUUCAAAAUUUUGACAUAUUUUGUUUCCAAGUCAUGCUUCAGA